This 224-nucleotide ribosomal RNA is filed under the name uncultured bacterium. Its description in RNAcentral is "partial 16S ribosomal RNA". It matches the Rfam family "Bacterial small subunit ribosomal RNA", at positions 116 to 334 of the family's 1533-position model. The record is from RNAcentral.
CGUAAAGAACCUGCCUCAUAGACUGGGACAACUAUUGGAAACGAUAGCUAAUACCGGAUAACAGCAUUAACUGCAUGGUUGAUGUUUGAAAGUUGGUUAUGCUAACACUAUGAGAUGGCUUUGCGGUGCAUUAGCUAGUUGGUGGGGUAAAGGCCCACCAAGGCGACGAUGCAUAGCCGACCUGAGGGGGUGAUCGGCCACACUGGGACUGAGACACGGCCCAG